RNAcentral lists this long non-coding RNA (1036 nucleotides) under Homo sapiens (human). RNAcentral's name for it is "PREDICTED lncRNA (TCONS_00264374)". Lineage: Eukaryota; Metazoa; Chordata; Mammalia; Primates; Hominidae. The record is from RNAcentral.
GCAAAGUGUAGUCCCUGAACCAGCAGCCUCAGCAUCCUGAGGGAAUUUGUUAAAAACGCGAAAUCUCAAGCCCUACCCAGACUUACUGAAUCAGUGUCUGCAUUGCAACAAGAUCCCCUGGUAAUUCCUAUGCACAUCAAAAUUUGGAAGGCACAGCUCUCAACUGAUGUCCUGGGUCUCCUUCACAUCCAUCCUGGGAAGGUCUUAUUCCUCAUUCCUGAGCUCAUCCCACUGAAGAGCUAUGGCACUUCCAAUUCCUGAGCCUUUGUGAGGUUCUGCGUGUCAGUAAGCUUGCUUCCGGGCAUCACCUCCGAAAACACUUGGGUUUCAGUUUUCUCUGUGAGGCUUCUUAAGGAGUGGAGGAAAGUGGAUGUUUUCAAGAUAACGCAGCUAACAUUCAAAGAGGUUAAGUGAAUUGUCCAAAGUCACACAGCAAGCACUGGAGGUAAGAUUCAAACCUGAAUAGUCUAUCAUUUCAGAGUACUUUCAACACUAUGCAAUACUAUCUCUCUAGCAAUCAGCCAGAUUGAAUAAGAUCUGUAGUUCACAGAGCCACUUGCAUUUUUAAUCCUAGUUUAAUUAACUUAGGAAAUUUGUAUCUAAAGGAUGCAUCUUUUUUUUUUUUUUUUUCAAUAGAGGCAGUGUCUCACCAUGUUGCCCAGACUGGCCUCAAACUUCUGGGCUCAAACCAUCCUCCCAUCUCAGCCUUCCAAAUGCUGAGAUUACAGGCGUGAGCCACCACGUCCCACCGGGAUACAUAGGUUUUACGGUAUCCUCUGAACCUCCCUUUAAUCAAGAGAGUGGACAAAACUGUGGGUCCCUCAUUUUCAAAAUGGCCAGUAAAAGAGGAAAUAAGGAUAUGCAAUGUUUAGUUAUUUUCUGCUGCCCUCUUUAAGUUGAUUGGGGAUCUCUUUGUCACUACUUUGGGAAGAUAACUUACCUUCUUAUCCACUAUGGCUAAUUGGAGCUUUUCUCAUGUCUUUAUGGUUGCUGGGAAAUUUUCAAAUAAAAUUCACUGGGAAUGGUUUGAAAUUGC